UACGGAGGAUCCAAGCGUUAUCCGGAUUUAUUGGGUUUAAAGGGUGCGCAGGCGGAAUAAUAAGUCAGUGGUGAAAUCCUACGGCUCAACUGUAGAACUGCCAUUGAUACUGUUAUUCUUGAGUUUAGUUGAAGUGGGCGGAAUGUGUCAUGUAGCGGUGAAAUGCUUAGAUAUGACACAGAACACCGAUCGCGAAGGCAGCUCACUAAGCUAAAACUGACGCUCAUGCACGAAAGCGUGGGGAUCAAACAGGAUUAGAUACCCUGGUAGUCCACGCUGUAAACGAUGAUUACUCGAUGUUGGCGAUACACAGUCAGCGUCUGAACGAAAGUAUUAAGUAAUCCACCUGGGGAGUACGGUCGCAAGACUGAA
RNAcentral lists this ribosomal RNA (372 nucleotides) under uncultured bacterium. Its description in RNAcentral is "bacterial SSU rRNA". It matches the Rfam family "Bacterial small subunit ribosomal RNA", at positions 524 to 898 of the family's 1533-position model. The record is from RNAcentral.